AACGAACGCUGGCGGCAGGCCUAACACAUGCAAGUCGAGCGCGCACUUCGGGGUUAGCGGCGGACGUGUGAGUAACGAGUGGGAACGUACCCUUUUCUACGGAGUAGCUUCGGUAAACUUAAAUUAAUACCAUAUAGGCCCUUUCGGGGAAGGAUGUACCGGAAAAGGAUCGGGCCUGGUAGGCUUAGGUGGUUGGUGGGGUAAUGGCCUAUCAUCCGGAGGAUCCUUAGCUGGUUUGAUAGGAUGAUCAGCCAGACUGGGACUGAGACACGGACCAGAAUCGGACGGGAGGGAGCAGUGGGGAAUAUUAGACAAUGGGGGCAAAUGUGAUCUAGCCAUGUGGGGUGAGAGAGGAAGGGCUUAGGGUUGUAAAGCUCUCUGAGCUGGGAAGAGAAUGACGGUAAUAGCAGAAGAAGCACCGGCUAACUCCGUG
This 433-nucleotide ribosomal RNA is filed under the name uncultured bacterium. RNAcentral describes it as "partial 16S ribosomal RNA". It matches the Rfam family "Bacterial small subunit ribosomal RNA", at positions 29 to 507 of the family's 1533-position model. The record is from RNAcentral.